Molecule: transfer RNA, 87 nt
Filed under: Nostoc sp. KVJ3
Lineage: Bacteria; Bacillati; Cyanobacteriota; Cyanophyceae; Nostocales; Nostocaceae
Description: tRNA-Ser
Rfam family: tRNA
About the family: Transfer RNA (tRNA) molecules are approximately 80 nucleotides in length. Their secondary structure includes four short double-helical elements and three loops (D, anti-codon, and T loops).
Source: RNAcentral
GGAGAGGUGGCCGAGUGGUUUAAGGCGCAGACCUGGAAAGUCUGUGAGGCAGUAAUGUCUCCGUGAGUUCAAAUCUCACUCUCUCCG